GUUAACUUACACGUAUUUUACAAAUUUGUUAGCCAAGAUAAAGGAAAUAAGGAAUGAUGAAAAGUGGAAACAAAAGAAAGGAAAAAGAAAUCCAAGAAAACAAAAGGUACAGGGGAGAGCCAGACAAAGGAAAAAUACUGUGGAAGCCAGAGAAAGAAAGAAAAAUGCAAAUAAAGGAUAUGGGAGCUGUAGGUGUUGCCUGUAGAGGAAGAGAAGGGGAUAUUAAUAGUAGGAGCAGAGAGAGAACAGAGGAGUAGUUUCUCUCUCUCUCGAGCUCAUUCUUACAUGCCCACCAGGAAAACCCACUGAAGCCACUAAUCAUCAUGAAACACCCUCUGCAACCAGCACUCUCAAAAAGUAUUAUCUCUCUCCAUCAAAACCUUCCUUCCCUUAAAUUUACCUCUCUUAACAUCACAUAUCUCUCAACCAGAAUCCCCACAUCCCCAUAACCAUGAAACCUCCUUUCCUUUUCCGUCUAACAUUUUCCUUCUUCUACUUACUUCAAACAUUCCUACUAGUCCUCUCUGCCACAGCUCUGCCUCUUCAACUCCGCGCUCUACUUUCCCUCAAAUUAUCCCUCCGAGAUCCUCUUGAUACCUUCCAUGACUGGGAUCCCACCCGACCAUCUUCCAAGCCUAGUUUCCGAGGCCCAGUUUGGUGUUCCUGGUCUGGCAUCAAAUGCGACCCUGGAACUGCUCAAAUCAUAACGCUUGAUCUCUCUUGCCGAAGUCUUUCUGGUGUGAUUCCUGAUGAAAUCCGGCACUUAAACAGCUUAAUUCACUUGAAUUUGAGCUUAAAUGCUUUUAUGGGGCCUCUACAACCAGUCAUCUUUGAACUGACUGAGCUCAGAACUAUUGAUAUCAGCCACAACAAUUUCAAUUCCACAUUUCCACCUGGGAUUUCCAAGCUCAAGUCCCUAAGAGUCUUCCAUGCAUACAGCAACAAUUUCACCGGUCCAUUGCCAAAAGAGUUCAGCUCGCUUCGCUUCUUGGAGCGGCUCAACCUCACCGGAAGCUUUUUUCAAGGAGAGAUUCCCACGGAAUAUGGUAGUUUUCCAAGAUUGAAGUUUCUGGGCUUAGCUGGAAAUUUGUUAGAAGGGCCCGUCCCACCCCAAUUAGGAUCCUUGAGCCAGCUUGAGCGGAUGGAGAUUGGAUACAACAGUAUGUUAACAGGAAAAGUACCAGAGGAGCUUGCAUUGUUAUCCAAUCUCCAGUACCUGGAUAUCUCAGGAUGUUCUCUCUCGGGUAAUCUCACACAGGAACUUGGAAAUCUAACGAAACUCGAAAUGCUGUUACUUUUCCAAAACCAGUUUACUGGUGAAAUCCCUGUGAGUUUUACAAAUUUAAAAGCUCUGAAGGUUCUUGAUUUGUCUGAUAAUCGACUUACGGGCAAGAUUCCAGUAGAAAUUUCUUCUUUGAAAGAGCUAACAAGAGUGAGCUUGAUGAAAAAUCAAUUCAGUGGCGAAAUACCGGAAGGAAUUGGUGAGCUGCCAAAUCUUAACGCUCUGUAUCUCUGGAACAACUCUCUCACGGGAAUUCUCCCGCAAAAACUCGGCUCGAACUGCAAGUUACAGUGGCUGGACGUGUCCUCCAACUCUCUACAUGGUCCAAUCCCUCCAAGUCUUUGUCAAGGAAACAAGCUAUUAAAGCUCAUACUCUUCUCCAACAAGUUUAUUGGAGGUCUGCCAGAAUCGCUAGCAAACUGUACGUCUUUGUGCAGGGUCCGAAUCCAAGACAAUCAACUUAACGGUUCAAUCCCAUACGGCUUCGGGCACUUGCGGAAUCUAACCUACAUGGACCUGAGCAAGAAUAGCCUCUCGGGCGAAAUUCCUCACGACCUUGGCAAUGCACCGCAGCUACAGUACUUAAACAUCUCCGAGAACUCUUUGCACAGCAAAUUGCCAAGUAACAUAUGGAGCGCACCGAAUUUACAAAUAUUUUCGGCCAGUUCAAGUAAACUCACCGGAAAAAUCCCUGAUUUUAUCGGGUGUAGCAGCGUGUAUAAGAUCGAAUUGCAGGAUAAUUCGUUCAACGGUGGCAUUCCUUGGGACAUUGGACACUGCGAGAAGCUUAUUAACUUGAAUUUGAGCCGCAAUUCCCUCACCGGCAUAAUCCCGUGGGAAAUUUCUACGCUUCCAGCGAUCACUGAUGUCGACAUUUCUUAUAACUUUCUCACGGGCUCAAUCCCUUCAAAUUUCGAGAACUGCACCACUUUAGAGAACUUCAAUGUGUCCUAUAAUCGUUUAAGGGGACCAAUUCCGGGCUCUGGUAUAUUUCCAAACUUGCAUCCGUCGUCCUUUUUAGGCAACGACGGGAUCUGCGGCCGCAUUUUAGCCAAGCCUUGCGCAGCAGACACGCUAUCAGUCGGCGAGGUCGAAGUCCACAGGCGGCAGCAGCCGAAGAAGACCGCAGGGGCGAUCGUAUGGAUCAUGGCUGCCGCGUUUGGUAUUGGGCUAUUCGUGCUGGUUGCCGGAACCAGGUGCUUCCACGCCAAGUAUAACCGCAAGUUCAACAACGAUCGCGAGAUCGGACCGUGGAAAUUAACGGCAUUCCAACGUUUGAAUUUCACGGCUGACGAUGUGCUGGAGUGCUUGUCCAUGACCGAUAAGAUUAUAGGAAUGGGAUCAACUGGCACAGUGUACAAGGCUGAGAUGCCAGGUGGCGAGAUCAUAGCGGUCAAAAAGCUGUGGGGCAAGCACAAGGAAAAUAUCCGACGGAGGAGAGGGGUUCUAGCAGAGGUGGAUGUAUUGGGGAAUGUGAGGCAUAGGAAUAUAGUGAGAUUGUUAGGGUGCUGCAGCAACAGGGAGUGCACUAUGCUUCUUUACGAGUACAUGCCAAAUGGAAAUUUAGAAGAUCUAUUGCAUGGAAAAAAUAAGGGAGAAAAUCUAGUGGCUGACUGGUUUACAAGGCACAAGAUUGCUCUUGGGGUGGCUCAGGGGAUAUGUUAUCUCCACCAUGACUGUGAUCCUGUGAUAGUACAUCGUGAUCUAAAGCCUAGUAACAUUCUAUUGGACGGUGAGAUGGAGGCUAGAGUGGCAGAUUUUGGUGUGGCCAAGUUGAUACAAAGCGACGAGUCCAUGUCUGUAAUUGCCGGAUCUUAUGGUUACAUUGCUCCAGGUGAGUUGUUUGCUUUCUUUCUUAUUAUUAUCACAGGUUUACAUCUUGCAAUUGUGCAUAUAUUUUCCUUGUCUCUUUCUUUGUCAUAUAUUGAGAUGGUAUAAUCAGCGUUAGAGUAUGCUGCAGAGUUUAAAUCUUAAUGACCCUCCUCACAAUAUUUCUAUUUGAGAAUAUUAGUGUACGAUUAUAAAAUAUGUAAUCAAUCUUACUGUAUAAAAGAGGAAAGAAAGAUGUGUUAUAAGGUGUGACCAUAGGUUUUGUUCUCUUUAACAAAAAAAAGGUGUGAAAUUGACAACAUGGUAUGUUUAUUAGAUAGGGCGGAACGUUUUAGCCAGGGCCGAAAGUAUAAAAUUUUCUCUUUGGGAGUUCUUCAAUGUAUAUGCUUUGCUUUUCUGUCCUUUCAGUCAAAUCUUGGCUUGUUUGGAAACAGUAAUCCCAGGGUUGGUCGCGUUUUUGUUCUUGGAUACCUUUUCUUUGCUUCUGUUUGUUUUAGUUAAUUCUUUUUGUUGGGCGAUCAAAUCCACCACCACUAACUAUAGUGCAUCACCUGGAAUUAUGUGGGUACUAUCCAAACAUUGUUCUGAUGGGUUAUUUCUUGGUUAAAAUAAAUAAUGAAGACAAGCCAAGCAUUGAUUUCCCUUUUAUCUUUGGUAAAGCAAGCACAUUUUGAUUUUUUUUCGUUGCGAAGAAUUGGCUAAUACUACAGUUAUAGUGGACGUCAUCUCUGCUUUUUGGCGCCGCGAAUUCUUCAACUGUUUUUGUGCAUGGCGCACCAUUGGGCGUGAACUGUGUCUUUCUUCUUCUUUUUAUUUCUCUUCUAUUCCUUUUCUAUUUUGUUACAUCUAAUAAAUACAAAUGGACCCUACCCAAGAAAAAUGUUAGAUCCUUUAAUCGAUUGCAGUUUUGAUUUCAUGAUAAUGCAUUGUGUUGGAUCAUUAAUUGAUGGUUGUGUUCUUUUGCAGAAUAUGCUUAUACUCUACAAGUAGAUGAGAAGAGUGAUAUUUAUAGUUAUGGAGUGGUGUUAAUGGAGAUUAUUAGCGGGAAAAGAUCAGUUGAUGCUGAGUUUGGGGAUGGUAAUAGCAUUGUGGAUUGGGUAAGGUCUAAGAUCAAGACUAAGGAUGGUAUCAAUGACAUUUUGGACAAAAACGCUGGGGCAUCUAUAGCAUCCGUGAGGGAGGAAAUGAUGCAAAUGCUUAGAAUUGCACUUCUAUGCACUAGCCGGAAUCCGGCGGACCGACCCUCGAUGAGGGAUGUUGUCUUGAUGCUGCAAGAAGCCAAGCCUAAGAGGAAAUUGCCUGCAAGUGUAGUUAGCGGUGGAGUUGGGGUUGGUGAUAACUUAGUUACUGGCGCUGGUGCUAUUGCACAAAAGCCUGCUGUGGAAUAUUAAUAUGAUUAUUUUACAUUUACUGGCUUCAUCUUUUUUUUUUUAAAUAUUUCUUUUAUGUUAUUUUUCAAACGGUGGGGGAUUGGUAUAGAAGAAGUGAUUUUUCUUACUUUAUUUCUAAUGAAAAUAUCAAGUGUUCUUGUUCUAAUUUCUUUUGUGUUAAAUUGGGAUAUUAAAUUUUGUUAUUGCACAUAAAUUGGAGGUUAAGUUAUUUUAUAGCAUGGAAUAUAAAAU
Molecule: unclassified non-coding RNA, 4734 nt
Filed under: Hevea brasiliensis (rubber tree)
Lineage: Eukaryota; Viridiplantae; Streptophyta; Magnoliopsida; Malpighiales; Euphorbiaceae
Source: RNAcentral